This 773-nucleotide ribosomal RNA is filed under the name uncultured bacterium. RNAcentral describes it as "bacterial SSU rRNA". It matches the Rfam family "Bacterial small subunit ribosomal RNA", at positions 8 to 796 of the family's 1533-position model. The record is from RNAcentral.
AGAGUUUGAUCCUGGCUCAGGACGAACGCUGGCGGCGUGCUUAACACAUGCAAGUCGAACGGUGAACCUGCUUCGGUGGGGGAUCAGUGGCGAACGGGUGCGUAACACGUGGGCAACCUGCCCUCAGCUCUGGGAUAACUCCAAGAAAUUGGGGCUAAUACCGGAUAUGACCGCUGACCGCAUGGUCUGGUGGUGGAAAGAUUUAUCGGCUGGGGAUGGGCCCGCGGCCUAUCAGCUUGUUGGUGGGGUAGUGGCCUACCAAGGCGACGACGGGUAGCCGGCCUGAGAGGGUGACCGGCCACACUGGGACUGAGACACGGCCCAGACUCCUACGGGAGGCAGCAGUGGGGAAUAUUGCGCAAUGGGCGAAAGCCUGACGCAGCGACGCCGCGUGGGGGAUGACGGCCUUCGGGUUGUAAACCUCUUUCAGCAGGGACGAAGCGGAAGUGACGGUACCUGCAGAAGAAGCACCGGCCAACUACGUGCCAGCAGCCGCGGUAAUACGUAGGGUGCAAGCGUUGUCCGGAAUUAUUGGGCGUAAAGAGCUCGUAGGCGGUUCGUCGCGUCGGCUGUGAAAUCCCGAGGCUCAACCUCGGGUCUGCAGUCGAUACGGGCGGACUUGAGUUCGGCAGGGGAGACUGGAAUUCCUGGUGUAGCGGUGAAAUGCGCGAUAUCAGGAGGAACACCGGUGGCGAAGGCGGGUCUCUGGGCCGAUACUGACGCUGAGGAGCGAAAGCGUGGGGAGCGAACAGGAUUAGAUACCCUAGUAGUCC